GUCCAGGCUGGAGUUCUCUAUUUCAUGCUCCCGUGUCUUCUGUGCUGUUGUGUGAGUCAGAAUUGUCUGCUUGUGGAAGGCAGUCAUCUUGCGACUCUCCCUGUGUCUGUGUCUGCCCAGGAGUGACUGUCUGAAGAUAUCUGUCCCUAAUAAAAAAGUGGGAAGAUGGACAUUUGUAGAUGGAAGGAUCCCACGGUUCAUGUUACACAUUCAGAAAAUUAAGACAAGGGCUGGACUGUAGCCCAGUGGUUCAAGUGUUAGCUUAGUAUGCAUCGGACUUCCAGUUCAAGCCUUAUCAUGCAUGCAUAAACCAAGCAUAAUGGCACAUUAUUGUAAAACCUCUUGGUACUGAGUUACAGGAAACGGAGAAGGAAGCAUUGGCUGGUCCAAAUCCUGUUCUGCUUGUACACACAUCUGAAAGGCCUCAGUGAAGAGGUGCCAUACAA
Molecule: long non-coding RNA, 446 nt
Filed under: Cricetulus griseus (Chinese hamster)
Lineage: Eukaryota; Metazoa; Chordata; Mammalia; Rodentia; Cricetidae
Description: lncRNA (ENSCGRG00015039352.1)
Source: RNAcentral